UUGAUUGUAACUUAUAAAAAGAGUUUUACUGUUAAUAAAAAAGAAGGGGCUCCCCUAAUCAAA
This 63-nucleotide transfer RNA is filed under the name Endeis sp. JZ-2022. RNAcentral describes it as "tRNA-Asn". The record is from RNAcentral. Lineage: Eukaryota; Metazoa; Arthropoda; Pycnogonida; Pantopoda; Endeidae.